This 428-nucleotide ribosomal RNA is filed under the name uncultured bacterium. RNAcentral describes it as "bacterial SSU rRNA". It matches the Rfam family "Bacterial small subunit ribosomal RNA", at positions 355 to 776 of the family's 1533-position model. The record is from RNAcentral.
UCGAGAAUUUUUCUCAAUGGGCGAAAGCCUGAAGGAGCGACGCCGCGUGGGGGAUGAAUGGCUUCGGCCCGUAAACCCCUGUCAUUUGCGAACAAAUUAAUUCACCCAACACGUGGAUUAUUGAUUGUAGCGGAAGAGGAAGGGACGGCUAACUCUGUGCCAGCAGCCGCGGUAAUACAGAGGUCCCAAGCGUUGUUCGGAUUCACUGGGCGUAAAGGGUGCGUAGGCGGUUGGGUAAGUUUGACGUGAAAUCUCCGGGCCUAACCCGGAAACUGCGUUGAAUACUACCCAGCUAGAGGAUUGGAAGGGAGACUGGAAUACUUGGUGUAGCAGUGAAAUGCGUAGAUAUCAAGUGGAACACCAGUGGCGAAGGCGAGUCUCUGGACAAUUCCUGACGCUGAGGCACGAAAGCCAGGGGAGCAAACGGG